RNAcentral lists this non-coding RNA (202 nucleotides) under Singulisphaera acidiphila. Lineage: Bacteria; Pseudomonadati; Planctomycetota; Planctomycetia; Isosphaerales; Isosphaeraceae. RNAcentral also lists the same sequence under 1 other name. The record is from RNAcentral.
AAUCGCCGUCGCUUGACAGGUUCCCCUGGCCUGACAACAGGUCGGGGGAUAAUAGGGAAGACGGUGUAAAUCCGUCGCGGGGCCGCCGCUGUAAUCGGCCAGGCCCCCGGACCAACCAAAGCCACUGCCGCAAGGCGGGAAGGCGGUCCGGGUGCCGUGAUGAGCCGAGAGCCAGAAGACCUGCCCGUCGAGCUUCUGUUCC